Molecule: long non-coding RNA, 1175 nt
Organism: Planococcus citri (citrus mealybug)
Lineage: Eukaryota; Metazoa; Arthropoda; Insecta; Hemiptera; Pseudococcidae
Exons: 2
Source: RefSeq, a predicted model, not a curated record
UAUCCUUAUUAUUAUCAAGGUAUUGAUUCUAAUUUCAUUUUGAUAUCUCAUAUCUCUUAAUUUGAAAUAUUGCUUUUCACACUUAAGGAAAUGGGAAACAAAAAAAGGUAAUUUCCAUAGUCAACUACAUACUUAUAAUAUGUAUAAAGUUUUGAAACAGAUAAAUACUCAAAGACGGGAUAGAUCGGCAAUAUCUAUAGAGAGAUAAGGAAAUCACGAGAAAGGCACUUAUUACUUAAUUUUAUUUUUUAUUUUUUUGGGUUUUACUUGUUGAACAAUUUGAACAUUGUGUACGUUAAAUUUUUAGAAUUUAUGUGCUGAAAUGGUAAACACAUUGGUGGACCAAAACUAUAUGGACUGAACAAUAUCACUUCCAGCAUAUAUAAGUACUAGCCUAAAUGGCAGAUGACUAUUAAAUUUUCAAAAAUUCCACGAUAAAUUUAUUCACGACGCUUUGUAUCCUGAAGAGAGACCAUUUCAGAUUUCGACAAAGCAUUUCGAGUAUUUGGAUUUACCAAAAGAGAUAUCUUGAUUUUGAAAUUCUGUUAGAUCAAUUAAUGAAAGUUUUAGUGAUAAAGCUGCCCAUCAAAUGUCUGUAUAAUUUGAGCAGUUACACUUGCAGAAUACACAGGCUACAAUGUGGGAGAUAUCAAAGAUAUGCGUGAAAAACUGAGCAUCACUCUUGACGAAGCAAAGAUCAUUUACGUGCAAACUACGCUUUAUUGGCCUGCAGUAGAAAAACAUUCAUCUAUAGUUUUUUGUUGCAUACUCUACGAUGCAUGGAAUACGUCAGUCGUCGGUGGCUCCUACAACGGAAAUUUUAAAACCCCCGUUUCAUCUAUAAUGCCUCUCAAAGCACUGUGAUAAUCAGGAAUUUCAACAACUGUAGAUUUGUAGUAAGAGUAGUAAGAAUGUCCACAACAACAACGUUAAACAUUUUUGCAGUGAAGAAAUAAGUUUACCGGUACCUAUAUACCACCUAUUUUACCUAGGUAUACGUUUUUUAUUGCUGAAAAAAUGUCACACCCUAAUUGCAUUUUAUCUACAAUUCUACAUAUUAUUAAAUAAUCACUAAAAUUUAUAAAUAUGCACUUGAUUGGUUGAAUUUAAAUUCAAGAAUUGAUGAUGAAUUUAUCUAAUAUUCCAUCAACAAUAAACUUACUUUUCAUCACGUU